GACGAACGCUGGCGGCGUGCUUAAUACAUGCAAGUCGAACGAAAGGCCCCGGAUUUUGUGGGUUGUAUGUUUGCGGAAGGGGGGUGAAUAACGGGUGUAUCUCCCCCUUACCUUUGGGUUAAUUCUAGGAAAAAGGGGCUAUAACAGCGUAGGACUUCUUGCUCCGCGUGGGGGGUGGGAAAAUUUCGGCGGUGGGGGUUGGAUUCGCGGUUUACGCGCUGCUUUGGGGGGUAGGGGCUGACAAGGCUUUCGACGGUUAGCCGGCCUGAGAGGGUGACCGGCCACAUUGGGACUGAGAGACGGCCCAGACUCCUACGGGAGGCAGCAGUGGGGAAUAUUGCACAAUGGGCGGAAGCCUGAUGCAGCAACGCCGCGUGCGGGAUGACGGCCUUCGGGUUGUAAACCGCUUUCGCCUGUGACGAAGCGUGAGUGACGGUAAUGGGUAAAGAAGCACCGGCUAACUACGUG
RNAcentral lists this ribosomal RNA (468 nucleotides) under uncultured bacterium. RNAcentral's name for it is "partial 16S ribosomal RNA". It matches the Rfam family "Bacterial small subunit ribosomal RNA", at positions 28 to 507 of the family's 1533-position model. The record is from RNAcentral.